AUUUAUGAUUCAUUUAUCUUCAUUAAACAUGAACAAGCAUUAACAAUAUUCAUAUUACAAUGGUACCUUCGACUUGCCGGAAGGUGAGAGAGCAAGAGUGGCACGAGAGCGAUUACAAUCCAGUGUGAACAGUAUGGUGUUACUGUUCAUCUAUUUAUAUGCGUGGGACGCAGACCGGAUAAAAGUACAUUUAUAUCUUUGGUAACUGCCUACAACCCUAACAUGAAUUAUUGAGGACUAUAAGGUCUUUAGCCUCUUUCAGUCAUCAUCAUGCUUGGGCUUCGUCGAUAUGUUAAGCCGAAGUCCUUGGCUUCUAGCUUCGCCGCCCAGUCUUUAUCUCCCCUCCUUCCGUCAUAAGAGAAGUUCUUCAUCCCAAGGCCGAAGCUUACUGUAACUAUUCAUAAUCAUGCUCAAAACAUAUGGUUAAUCACGUUUUUGAGGACCUUCAAAAGAGGAAGGCCCCCAAUAGUGAACUACUAGAAACACUAAUUAAAAAUGCUUAUCACAUAAUUAUAAAACUAACAAACCAUUUCUAUUUUAUUCAGGUUCCUAAUAUACAUUUUAUAAUAAAAACUGCAGCUGGAACCUUUGCAAAAUUAAAGGUAGACUAGGAGGAGUAGCUAAUAAAGUUGUGUUUUUUGAAUUCAAAAUAGAAAUUUGAAAAGAAAACCGAUAAUGAAGAAGAAAGAGAAAAAAGAAACACUACCUGCUGCCUGGGCCGAAACCCCGGCGCCGAGUUUGGAUCUCUACGUAACAAACGCUUCUUCUACGAUGACAUGCGGGCCCGUGCACCAGCGACCCCUCGCGGCUCGCGCGCUCGCGGUAGACACCGAUGCGUGGCCCCCCUAGUCAGCUCUACCCCCUUCAGAGGCUGCGCUCGUCGUGAACAGACUCCAAC
This 898-nucleotide long non-coding RNA is filed under the name Zea mays. Its description in RNAcentral is "long non-coding RNA (ZMAY_LNC002763)". The record is from RNAcentral. Lineage: Eukaryota; Viridiplantae; Streptophyta; Magnoliopsida; Poales; Poaceae.